GCCGAGGUGGCGGAAUUGGUAGACGCGCUGGCUUCAGAAGCCAGUGGGGGAAACCCCGUGGAGGUUCAAGUCCUCUCCUCGGCACCA
This 87-nucleotide transfer RNA is filed under the name Gammaproteobacteria bacterium. Its description in RNAcentral is "tRNA-Leu". It matches the Rfam family "tRNA". From Rfam's summary of the family: Transfer RNA (tRNA) molecules are approximately 80 nucleotides in length. Lineage: Bacteria; Pseudomonadati; Pseudomonadota; Gammaproteobacteria. The record is from RNAcentral.